This 495-nucleotide ribosomal RNA is filed under the name uncultured bacterium. RNAcentral describes it as "partial 16S ribosomal RNA". It matches the Rfam family "Bacterial small subunit ribosomal RNA", at positions 28 to 507 of the family's 1533-position model. The record is from RNAcentral.
GACGAACGCUGGCGGCGUGCCUAAUACAUGCAAGUAGAACGCUGAAGGAGGAGCUUGCUUCUCUGGAUGAGUUGCGAACGGGUGAGUAACGCGUAGGUAACCUGCCUGGUAGCGGGGGAUAACUAUUGGAAACGAUAGCUAAUACCGCAUAAGAGUAGAUGUUGCAUGACAUUUGCUUAAAAGGUGCAAUUGCAUCACUACCAGAUGGACCUGCGUUGUAUUAGCUAGUUGGUGAGGUAACGGCUCACCAAGGCGACGAUACAUAGCCGACCUGAGAGGGUGAUCGGCCACACUGGGAAUGAGACACGGCCAAGAAUCCUACGGGAGGCAGCAGUAGGGAAUCUUCGGAAAUGGACGGAAGUCUGACCGAGCAACGCCGCGUGAGUGAAGAAGGUUUUCGGAUCGUAAAGCUCUGUUGUAAGAGAAGAACGAGUGUGAGAGUGGAAAGUUCACACUGUGACGGUAUCUUACCAGAAAGGGACGGCUAACUACGUG